Molecule: unclassified non-coding RNA, 332 nt
Filed under: soil metagenome
Description: partial contains 5.8S ribosomal RNA, internal transcribed spacer 2, and large subunit ribosomal RNA
Rfam family: 5.8S ribosomal RNA (bases 1-120)
Source: RNAcentral
GAUGAAGAACGUAGCGAAAUGCGAUAAGUAGUGUGAAUUGCAGAAUUCAGUGAAUCAUCGAAUCUUUGAACGCACAUUGCGCCCUUUGGUAUUCCUUAGGGCAUGCCUGUUCAAGCGUCAUUUAAACCUUCAAGCUCAGCUUGGUGUUGGGUGACUGUCCGCUUCACCGCGGACUCGCCUCAAAAUUAUUGGCGGCCGGUACAUUGGCUUCGAGCGCAGCAGAAACGCGAACUCGGGCCCGUCGUAUUGGCUCCCAGAAGCUAUCUUCACAAUUUUGACCUCGGAUCAGGUAGGGAUACCCGCUGAACUUAAGCAUAUCAAUAAGCGGAGGA